This 745-nucleotide ribosomal RNA is filed under the name uncultured Staphylococcus sp. RNAcentral's name for it is "bacterial SSU rRNA". It matches the Rfam family "Bacterial small subunit ribosomal RNA", at positions 56 to 782 of the family's 1533-position model. The record is from RNAcentral. Lineage: Bacteria; Bacillati; Bacillota; Bacilli; Caryophanales; Staphylococcaceae.
UGCAAGUCGAGCGAACAGACGAGGAGCUUGCUUCUCUGACGUUAGCGGCGGACGGGUGAGUAACACGUGGAUAACCUACCUAUAAGACUGGGAUAACUUCGGGAAACCGGAGCUAAUACCGGAUAAUAUAUUGAACCGCAUGGUUCAAUAGUGAAAGACGGUUUUGCUGUCACUUAUAGAUGGAUCCGCGCCGCAUUAGCUAGUUGGUAAGGUAACGGCUUACCAAGGGCAACGAUGCGUAGCCGACCUGAGAGGGUGAUCGGCCACACUGGAACUGAGACACGGUCCAGACUCCUACGGGAGGCAGCAGUAGGGAAUCUUCCGCAAUGGGCGAAAGCCUGACGGAGCAACGCCGCGUGAGUGAUGAAGGUCUUCGGAUCGUAAAACUCUGUUAUUAGGGAAGAACAAAUGUGUAAGUAACUAUGCACGUCUUGACGGUACCUAAUCAGAAAGCCACGGCUAACUACGUGCCAGCAGCCGCGGUAAUACGUAGGUGGCAAGCGUUAUCCGGAAUUAUUGGGCGUAAAGCGCGCGUAGGCGGUUUUUUAAGUCUGAUGUGAAAGCCCACGGCUCAACCGUGGAGGGUCAUUGGAAACUGGAAAACUUGAGUGCAGAAGAGGAAAGUGGAAUUCCAUGUGUAGCGGUGAAAUGCGCAGAGAUAUGGAGGAACACCAGUGGCGAAGGCGACUUUCUGGUCUGUAACUGACGCUGAUGUGCGAAAGCGUGGGGAUCAAACAGGAUUAGA